Molecule: ribosomal RNA, 1029 nt
Filed under: Lactiplantibacillus plantarum
Lineage: Bacteria; Bacillati; Bacillota; Bacilli; Lactobacillales; Lactobacillaceae
Description: bacterial SSU rRNA
Rfam family: Bacterial small subunit ribosomal RNA
Source: RNAcentral
UCCUGUGUAAGAAGAACAUAUUCUGAGAGUACUGUUCAGGUAUUGACGGUAUUUAACCCAGAAAGCACGGCUAACUACGUGCCAGCAGCCGCGGUAAUACGUAGGUGGCAAGCGUUGUCCCGGAUUUAUUGGGCGUAAAGCGAGCGCAGGCGGUUUUUUAAGUCUGAUGUGAAAGCCUUCGGCUCAACCGAAGAAGUGCAUCGGAAACUGGGAAACUUGAGUGCAGAAGAGGACAGUGGAACUCCAUGUGUAGCGGUGAAAUGCGUAGAUAUAUGGAAGAACACCAGUGGCGAAGGCGGCUGUCUGGUCUGUAACUGACGCUGAGGCUCGAAAGUAUGGGUAGCAAACAGGAUUAGAUACCCUGGUAGUCCAUACCGUAAACGAUGAAUGCUAAGUGUUGGAGGGUUUCCGCCCUUCAGUGCUGCAGCUAACGCAUUAAGCAUUCCGCCUGGGGAGUACGGCCGCAAGGCUGAAACUCAAAGGAAUUGACGGGGGCCCGCACAAGCGGUGGAGCAUGUGGUUUAAUUCGAAGCUACGCGAAGAACCUUACCAGGUCUUGACAUACUAUGCAAAUCUAAGAGAUUAGACGUUCCCUUCGGGGACAUGGAUACAGGUGGUGCAUGGUUGUCGUCAGCUCGUGUCGUGAGAUGUUGGGUUAAGUCCCGCAACGAGCGCAACCCUUAUUAUCAGUUGCCAGCAUUAAGUUGGGCACUCUGGUGAGACUGCCGGUGACAAACCGGAGGAAGGUGGGGAUGACGUCAAAUCAUCAUGCCCCUUAUGACCUGGGCUACACACGUGCUACAAUGGAUGGUACAACGAGUUGCGAACUCGCGAGAGUAAGCUAAUCUCUUAAAGCCAUUCUCAGUUCGGAUUGUAGGCUGCAACUCGCCUACAUGAAGUCGGAAUCGCUAGUAAUCGCGGAUCAGCAUGCCGCGGUGAAUACGUUCCCGGGCCUUGUACACACCGCCCGUCACACCAUGAGAGUUUGUAACACCCAAAGUCGGUGGGGUAACCUUUAGGAACCAGCCG